AACCUGUGAUUUCCAGCAGCUCCAACUAGGUAUGUUCUAAAUAUGCUUUUUUUUUCUUCUUCUUCUCUAAUUUUAUAUGGUAUCAAAACCAAUCCCAAUCUCAAUAUUAGGCCACCCACAGAUAUUCAGUCAUGAGAGUAAGGGGGUAUGUUAAGUCCUACAUAGGCUGGGUAUUGGACAAAAGAUGCUUCACAUAUGACUUAGGCAAUCCUCUCCCCCACAAGGCGUUUUGGGGUGGAAUUAGGCCCAGUUUGCUUUAUCAACAAUAAACAAUACAGCGAGCCAUUAACAUUAAGCAAUGACUAUUACAAUCAUACGUUAAUAACGAAAGGUAGAACUUGGGAAUCCAGCAUCCAACUGCCUUCAUUUGUUAAGUUGUUCCAAUCACUUGUCAUGACUUUAAACAUUCUUCAGGUAUUGAUAUUAAACCCCCAU
RNAcentral lists this unclassified non-coding RNA (435 nucleotides) under Hevea brasiliensis (rubber tree). The record is from RNAcentral. Lineage: Eukaryota; Viridiplantae; Streptophyta; Magnoliopsida; Malpighiales; Euphorbiaceae.